GUGUCAGCCGCCGCGGUAAUACGUAGGCAGCGAGCGUUGUUCGGAGUUACUGGGCGUAAAGAGUGCGUAGGCGGUUUUCCAAGUUUGGUGUGAAAUCUCCCGGCUUAACUGGGAGGGUGCGCCGAAAACUGGAAAGCUGGAGUAUGGGAGAGGUAAGCGGAAUUCCUGGUGUAGCGGUGAAAUGCGUAGAUAUCAGGAGGAACACCUGCGGUGUAGACGGCUUACUGGACCAUAACUGACGCUGAGGCACGAAAGCGUGGGUAGCAAACAGGAUUAGAAACCCUAGUAGUCC
RNAcentral lists this ribosomal RNA (292 nucleotides) under uncultured bacterium. RNAcentral describes it as "partial 16S ribosomal RNA". It matches the Rfam family "Bacterial small subunit ribosomal RNA", at positions 505 to 796 of the family's 1533-position model. The record is from RNAcentral.